GGGGAUUUAGCUCAGUGGUAGAGCGCUUGCCUAGCAAGCACAAGGCCCUGGGUUCGGUCCCUAGCUCCA
Molecule: non-coding RNA, 69 nt
Organism: Rattus norvegicus (Norway rat)
Lineage: Eukaryota; Metazoa; Chordata; Mammalia; Rodentia; Muridae
Source: Rfam